RNAcentral lists this unclassified non-coding RNA (1248 nucleotides) under Zea mays. Its description in RNAcentral is "misc RNA Zm00001eb101430". Lineage: Eukaryota; Viridiplantae; Streptophyta; Magnoliopsida; Poales; Poaceae. The record is from RNAcentral.
CCUCCUCCCACUCCCCCUCUCACUCCUACGCGCACGCACAGCACCGCGCCCGGCAGGCCGCACUCCGCUCCACGCUCUCGCCCCGCACAAUGCGCCGCCUCAGCCGCGCCGUGGCGUUCCUGCUGCUGCUCCUUCCCCUCGCCCUCGCGGCCACAACCACGAUGGCGGCGGCCGUCGUGGCGAAAGCUCCCGCUGCGGCGGCGGCGCCUCCGAACGUGACGGCGGAGAUGGCCAAGGGCGGGUGCAAGGCGUUCGCGGACCUGAUCGCGGCGUCCCCCGACGCGUCGUCCACGUACCAGUCGGCCGUGGAGGGCGGCAUGACGGCGUUCUGCCCCUCCGACGACGCCGUGAGGGCCUUCCUGCCCAAGUACAGGAACCUCAGCGCGGACGGGAAGGCGGAGCUGCUGCUGUUCCACGCCGUGCCGGUGCACUACUCGCUGGGGAGCCUCAAGUCCAACAACGGGCCCAUGAACACGCUGGCCACCGACGGCGCCGCCAGGAGCUUCAACUUCACGGUGCAGAGCCAGGGCGACGCCGUCACGAUCAGGACGGCCGCCGCCGCCGCGCCCGCGCGGGUCGAGUCCACGGUGCUGGACAAGGACCCCCUCGCCAUCUACGUCAUCGACGCCGUGGUGGAGCCCGUGGAGCUCUUCAAGCCCGCGCCGUCGCCGUCGCCGACGCCCGCGCCCGCGCCUGCCGCGGAUGCGCCCAAGGCUGGCAACGGCAAGGCCGCCGCGCGCCAGCGCCACCCGGCGCCCGCCGUGGCCGACGCGCCCGGCCCCGCCGCGGAAGACGACGCUGCUCCUGUGGACCAGAAGGACGUCAAGAAGAGCGCGGCCGAUGGCGCGCCGUGCUCCCGGUGGUGGCUCGCCGCCGCGCUGGCCGCGGCCUCGGCAUUGGUUUAGCGAUCCAUGGACGGAAGUGCUUUGUUUUUUUUUGUCUUUUUUUUGUUUCUCCGGUGUUGAUCCAUUGGCGUGUGAUCGUGGUUGUGGUGGCGUGCUUCGAGGUUUGUGUUUUUUUUUCUCGGUCGAGAGAAAAUAGUGUAUGCGUGCUUACGUAUUCGUGAGUGAGGGUGAGGCUCAGUGCGAGUUUAUGAGGAGGUGUUUGUAUUUUUGGUUCUGACGGACGAGUGAAAUCUGGGCACUGGCUGAAUUGCCGCUUGUGACGACGACGAGCUCCCGGUGGUUUCCUUCUUGUCGCAGCUUUUGAGAGAGAACCAAUUUUUAAAUCGCCGGAACAAAAUCUGAC